Molecule: ribosomal RNA, 803 nt
Filed under: uncultured Pseudomonadota bacterium
Lineage: Bacteria; Pseudomonadati; Pseudomonadota
Description: bacterial SSU rRNA
Rfam family: Bacterial small subunit ribosomal RNA
Source: RNAcentral
UUGUAGCAAUACAACUGGCGCACGGCGCACGGGUGCGUAACACGUGGGUAACCUGCCCUUUGGUGGGGAAUAACUCCGCGAAAGCGGAGCUAAUUCCGCAUAAGAUCCGCAAGGAUGAAAGCCGCAAGGCGCCGAAGGAGGGGCCCGCGCCCGAUUAGCUAGUUGGUGAGGUAAUGGCUCACCAAGGCAUUGAUCGGUAGCUGGUCUGAGAGGAUGAUCAGCCACACUGGAACUGAGACACGGUCCAGACUCCUACGGGAGGCAGCAGUGGGGAAUCUUGCACAAUGGGCGAAAGCCUGAUGCAGCGACGCCGCGUGGGGGAUGAAGCAUUUCGGUGUGUAAACCCCUUUCGAUCCGGACGAAACCCCGCAAGGGAUUGACGGUACGGAUAUAAGAAGCCCCGGCUAACUACGUGCCAGCAGCCGCGGUAAGACGUAGGGGGCCAGCGUUGUUCGGAAUUACUGGGUGUAAAGGGUUCGUAGGCGGUGUAGCAAGUCGGGAGUGAAAUCUUUGGGCUUAACCCAGAGACUGCUUCCGAAACUGCUGUGCUUGAGUGUGGGAGAGGCGCGUGGAAUUGCAGGUGUAGCGGUGAAAUGCGUAGAUAUCUGCAGGAACACCCGUGGCGAAAGCGGCGCGCUGGACCACUACUGACGCUGAGGAACGAAAGCUAGGGGAGCAAACAGGAUUAGAUACCCUGGUAGUCCUAGCCCUAAACGAUCAGGACUUGGGGUGCCACCCGUUCGGGUGUCGUCCCGGAGCUAACGCGUUAAGUCCUGCACCUGGGGAGUACGGUCGCAAGACUG